RNAcentral lists this ribosomal RNA (301 nucleotides) under uncultured bacterium. Its description in RNAcentral is "partial 16S ribosomal RNA". It matches the Rfam family "Bacterial small subunit ribosomal RNA", at positions 509 to 807 of the family's 1533-position model. The record is from RNAcentral.
CAGCCGCCGCGGUAAUACAGAGGAUGCAAGCGUUAUCCGGAAUGAUUGGGCGUAAAGGGUGCGUAGGCGGUUUGGUAAGUCUGAUGUGAAAGCCCCCGGCUCAACCGGGGAGGGUCAUUGGAAACUGGGAAACUUGAGUGCAGAAGAGGAGAGUGGAAUUCCACGUGUAGCGGUGAAAUGCGUAGAGAUGUGGAGGAACACCAGUGGCGAAGGCGACUCUCUGGUCUGUAACUGACGCUGAGGAGCGAAAGCGUGGGGAGCGAACAGGAUUAGAUACCCGUGUAGUCCCUGUCUCUUAUAC